UUACUCAAGAGUUCAGAUUGAAAUGCUACUUAGAGCUUAAAGACAAAUAAUAGAGACUACUACUAAUUGCAGAGUUCCAGAAAGCAAUGAGUUACACUGAGUGUGACACUGAGCAGGUUGGGCUCGAUGUCUGUGUGCGCUGGAGUUGCAUCUGCUUUGAGAUGGGGAACUGGAAGGAGAGGAAUACUAGAGAACCUGAGCAGAGCCAGGCCUCCUCUGACAACCACCUUAGGCAACAAUAAACAUGAUUUAUAUGCACUGUGUUUAAUUUCCUGCAGUGUUCUGAUCUUGCAUUGGUGCAAGGGAAAAGUCAAUGAAGAUGGAUGGUGAACAGAAUGCUAACUGGGAGGCGAGCAGUAAAUGUGGCCAGAAAUGGGAGGAGAUCAUAUUGCAGAGAUAAGUAACACUUCUGCAUUUCUAAAGCUGACGCUAUUUAGGGUGUAUUAACAGAAAAGGUAUAAUAUGACUGAUAAGGCAGAAAGAUAGAGUUGUCUGUAGCCACAAAAAAAUACCAGCUUAAAUCCUCUUGUGCAGAUGAGUCAUAAUGCAGUGGAGCCAGGAGCUGGACUCAGUAAUCACUGUGAGUCUUCCAAAAUGGGAAACACCAUGGUUCUAUGAUUCCAUGACUCCAUUUCCUAUGUCAGAUGGGUGGAUCGCUGUAGCUACCUGUACACUGGCCUCAGGUUCCAUGGGAAAUCAUUUGCAAAAAGUUAAUUCAAUCUUUUAAAGUCCAGAUUGCAUUUUCCUAGUGGAAAAUUACUACGGGCUCUUUUCUGGUUCCUUAAUUUUAGAUGCAUUGUUGGGACUUUCUGUUUUCGGACAACACUGAAAUUGGCUCUGGAAGGCCCCUGCUUUCUUUUAUUGGCUUUGAUAGUAUCCUCCAUACAAUUGUGCUCCAGUUCCUGUUGAAGGGGUGCUAUUUAACUGCACACUAUUUAUCUUUCUACUAGGGACAAUGAAGUCUCCAGCUUCUGACAGCACCAUGACCUUCCUGCCUCCAUGCAGACCCCAGAGACAACCCUGAGGCACAAAAGAGGCUCCACUGGCUGCCCGUGAGAACUGGAGUGAAGAAAGAUGCCAGAGGAGCUGCUUGAAAUGGCAGUGAGCACAGGGGGCUGCUACCACGAAAACAUCUCAGUGUGAAAGUGCAAAUCUAUAUUGACUUUGUUCCUCAUAAGGUUACUUACCAUGGCUCAAGAAGCCAAGAGCAUUGAUUUCAAACACAGGCAGAGGAAAUUUCAAGGCAAAGGAACUGCGUUGUGGAAAUGUUGUGUAUUUCUGUAGAAAAAAAGCCUGUGAGAGAAAGGAAACCAGCAUCUCUUUCCAAGGAGCAGCUAUUUGCUGGGCAGUUGCAGCUGCUGGAGGGGAAUAUCCCAAGAAGCCCAGCUUUGUCUCUGUUGUUUUUGGAGUAAGAAAAAGGUCACAUUCUAUAGGACAACAAUAGUCUUUGUGAGCAGAUGCUGCUUUAUGGAUCUUUUUGUGGUCUUCAUUGUGAAUUACGCUACUUUUUUUUUGUCCAGGGAAAUGCGCUCCUAUAGUUACAGUUGGGUUCUGUUCUUCUCCCUCUUCCCUUCCCAAUGAAUAUAGAGAUCCUUAACCUACUUUCAGUUAUUAUACAGCUCAGAGCCUGUGCCUGCUCCCUCAAAGGACAACUGGAAGGCUGCCAUUGACUUCAAUAACAGCAUGGGCAGCCUCCUUGUUAGUUAACAUUUGUAAAGUGCUUGGAGGUGCUUAGGCAACAGAUGUUACAUAAAUGUGAUUAAUUUUAUAACUUCACUAUCAUGUCUGCAAUGCUACACUGCAACUUUGUCAGCAGGCAUAUUAACUCAUGUUGAAGUGCUGUAUGCAGGAUUAAGGUUUAGUUAAGCAAAAAUAAACAGUCUCACCAAAUUCA
Molecule: long non-coding RNA, 1894 nt
Filed under: Coturnix japonica (Japanese quail)
Lineage: Eukaryota; Metazoa; Chordata; Aves; Galliformes; Phasianidae
Description: lncRNA (ENSCJPG00005011013.1)
Source: RNAcentral